AAAAUCUAAUUGUGAAUUAUGUUUUUUUGCUUCUUCUCCCUCUCCCUCUCUUUGUCGUCGCCACCCAAAGGAGGCAGCCCCUCCUUGUACUCUCACCUUCAGCUGGUGCCUUCUGCAACCAUCAGAGUCUGGCCACCUGCUAUUAGUCUUCCUCCUGGCCGUUGGGCAAGGAGGAAAGUUCUCCUUGCUUGCUGCUGUGAGCAACCGUCACCUCUUCCAACCCACCUUCGGCCACCUACAAGCCUCUUGCUACCUUCCCUUAUUGUCGGUCCUUAAGGUCCAACCCUCAAGGCUUAGCCCUCCUUGUGCUCCUACCUCCAGUCGGAGCCAUCUACAACCAUCAGAGUCUAACCACCUGUUGUUAAUCUUCCUCCAGGUCGUCAGCCAUCCAACAACCACAAAGGGUGUCAGACAAUAAGGAGGAAAUUCCUCCUUGCUUGCUGUUGCGAGCCACCACCGCCUCUUCCAACCCAUCGCCGGCCACCUACUAGCCGUCAACAAGCCUCUGGCCGCCUACUCUUGUUACUGACCCUCAAGGUCGGGCUGCCUACUACCUUUUAUCAGUUAUCAAGCCAUCAGACAAUGACCAAAAGCUACAUGCAACAACUUCUAAGGUGUUGGACAGCAUCCCCUUUGGUUGCUCCCUCUCUCACUUUGUGUCACCAGGUUGCCCUCGCCACUGGCACAAAGAUGAGCCGAGUAUCCUCUCUUAGAUCGUUUUGUCUCUUCCUUUGGCUAGUGCUGAAUUGAAGACAAAACUUGUGGCUUAGCGAACUCGUCUCAAAGAUAUAUCGGCGUGGAUAUUGAGAGAGUCAAACUUUGUCAAGUUUGCUAGUUGAUGGCAUUUCCGCUUAACAUCAUCCAACAGGUAGCCGGUAGUGAUGCUAGUACAUUUGGAGGGAUCCCGACUGCCAGUCCCACGUCGCUUCCGAGGACGGGUUUCCGGUUUUGUUUAGAUUUCUAGUUGUGAGUUGAACUUUUGAAUUUGGUAUUGUAAUAACCCUUUUGGGACUUGAUGUUAUUAUGUGAUUUGUUUUGCUUUGUUGAGGAGUCUAGCCAGGCCGACCCGCGGUGAGUUCUUUUGGUAUUUUGGUACUUGUUAUUUCGUUUUCCAUUGUGUUUGAUUUACCAGCCGAGUGGGCUGUUUAUUA
This is a long non-coding RNA of Zingiber officinale, 1151 nucleotides long. RefSeq lists it as uncharacterized. The transcript has 2 exons. Lineage: Eukaryota; Viridiplantae; Streptophyta; Magnoliopsida; Zingiberales; Zingiberaceae. The record is from RefSeq and is a predicted model, not a curated record.